This 418-nucleotide ribosomal RNA is filed under the name uncultured bacterium. Its description in RNAcentral is "bacterial SSU rRNA". It matches the Rfam family "Bacterial small subunit ribosomal RNA", at positions 355 to 787 of the family's 1533-position model. The record is from RNAcentral.
UGGGGAAUAUUGGGCAAUGGGGGAAACCCUGACCCAGCAACGCCGCGUGAAGGAAGAAGGCUUUCGGGUUGUAAACUUCUUUUACCAGGGACGAAGGACGUGACGGUACCUGGAGAAAAAGCUCCGGCUAACUACGUGCCAGCAGCCGCGGUAAUACGUAGGGAGCGAGCGUUGUCCGGAUUUACUGGGUGUAAAGGGCGUGUAGGCGGAGGAGCAAGUCAGAAGUGAAAUCUCCGGGCUUAACCCGGAAACUGCUUUUGAAACUGUUCCCCUUGAGUACUGGAGAGGCAGGCGGAAUUCCUAGUGUAGCGGUGAAAUGCGUAGAUAUUAGGAGGAACACCAGUGGCGAAGGCGGCCUGCUGGACAGCAACUGACGUUGAGGCGCGAAAGCGUGGGGAGCAAACAGGAUUAGAUACCC